RNAcentral lists this ribosomal RNA (670 nucleotides) under uncultured Bacteroidales bacterium. RNAcentral describes it as "bacterial SSU rRNA". It matches the Rfam family "Bacterial small subunit ribosomal RNA", at positions 74 to 738 of the family's 1533-position model. The record is from RNAcentral. Lineage: Bacteria; Pseudomonadati; Bacteroidota; Bacteroidia; Bacteroidales.
AGCUUGCUAAGGCUGAUGGCGACCGGCGCACGGGUGAGUAACACGUAUCCAACCUGCCGUCUACUCUUGGCCAGCCUUCUGAAAGGAAGAUUAAUCCAGGAUGGGAUCAUGAGUUCACAUGUCCGCAUGAUUAAAGGUAUUUUCCGGUAGACGAUGGGGAUGCGUUCCAUUAGAUAGUAAGCGGGGUAACGGCCCACCUAGUCAACGAUGGAUAGGGGUUCUGAGAGGAAGGUCCCCCACAUUGGAACUGAGACACGGUCCAAACUCCUACGGGAGGCAGCAGUGAGGAAUAUUUGGUCAAUGGGCGAUGGCCUGAACCAGCCAAGUAGCGUGAAGGAUGACUGCCCUAUGGGUUGUAAACUUCUUUUAUAAAGGAAUAAAGUCGGGUAUGCAUACCCGUUUGCAUGUACUUUAUGAAUAAGGAUCGGCUAACUCCGUGCCAGCAGCCGCGGUAAUACGGAGGAUCCGAGCGUUAUCCGGAUUUAUUGGGUUUAAAGGGAGCGUAGAUGGAUGUUUAAGUCAGUUGUGAAAGUUUGCGGCUCAACCGUAAAAUUGCAGUUGAUACUGGAUGUCUUGAGUGCAGUUGAGGCAGGCGGAAUUCGUGGUGUAGCGGUGAAAUGCUUAGAUAUCACGAAGAACUCCGAUUGCGAAGGCAGCCUGCUAAGCUGCA